Molecule: transfer RNA, 68 nt
Filed under: Laomedia astacina
Lineage: Eukaryota; Metazoa; Arthropoda; Malacostraca; Decapoda; Laomediidae
Description: tRNA-Ser
Source: RNAcentral
AACUAUUUAGUUUAUAAUAAAAUAAAUGUUUUGAAAACAUUAGAAAGAAUAAUUUUAUCUAUUAGUUG